RNAcentral lists this ribosomal RNA (486 nucleotides) under uncultured bacterium. RNAcentral describes it as "partial 16S ribosomal RNA". It matches the Rfam family "Bacterial small subunit ribosomal RNA", at positions 30 to 507 of the family's 1533-position model. The record is from RNAcentral.
AUUGAACGCUGGCGGCAUGCCUUACACAUGCAAGUCGAACGGCAGCACGGGUGCUUGCACCUGGUGGCGAGUGGCGAACGGGUGAGUAAUACAUCGGAACAUGUCCUGUAGUGGGGGAUAGCCCGGCGGAAGCCGGAUUAAUACCGCAUACGAUCUACGGAUGAAAGCGGGGGACCUUCGGGCCUCGCGCUAUAGGGUUGGCCGAUGGCUGAUUAGCUAGUUGGUGGGGUAAAGGCCUACCAAGGCGACGAUCAGUAGCUGGUCUGAGAGGACGACCAGCCACACUGGGACUGAGACACGGCCCAGACUCCUACGGGAGGCAGCAGUGGGGAAUUUUGGACAAUGGGCGAAAGCCUGAUCCAGCAAUGCCGCGUGUGUGAAGAAGGCCUUCAGGUUGUAAAGCACUUUUGUCCGGAAAGAAAUCCUUGGCCCUAAUACGGCCGGGGGAUGACGGUACCGGAAGAAUAAGCACCGGCUAACUACGUG